RNAcentral lists this ribosomal RNA (400 nucleotides) under phytoplankton environmental sample. Its description in RNAcentral is "partial small subunit ribosomal RNA". It matches the Rfam family "Eukaryotic small subunit ribosomal RNA", at positions 587 to 991 of the family's 1831-position model. The record is from RNAcentral.
AGCUCCAAAAGUGUAUAUUUAAGUUGUUGCGGUUAAAAAGCUCGUAGUUGGAUUUUGGGCUCGGGCCGUCGGUCCGUCGCAAGGCGUGUACUGGCGCGCCCGGCCUCACCUUCGGUUCACCGUCGGUGCUCUUGACUGAGUGUUGGCGGCGGCCGGAACGUUUACUUUGAAAAAAUUAGAGUGUUCAAAGCAGGCGGUUCGCCUGAAUAAUGGUGCAUGGAAUAAUGGAAUAGGACCUCGGUUCUAUUUUGUUGGUUUUCGGAGCGCGAGGUAAUGAUUAAGAGGGACGGACGGGGGCAUUCGUACUGUGCCGCUAGAGGUGAAAUUCUUGGAUCGGCGCAAGACGAACAACUGCGAAAGCAUUUGCCAAGAAUGUUUUCUUUAAUCAAGAACGAAAGUA